GACGAACGCUGGCGGCGUGCUUAACACAUGCAAGUCGAACGGAAAGGCCCUGCUUUUGUGGGGUGCUCGAGUGGCGAACGGGUGAGUAACACGUGAGUAACCUGCCCUUGACUUUGGGAUAACUUCAGGAAACUGGGGCUAAUACCGGAUAGGAGCUCCUGCUGCAUGGUGGGGGUUGGAAAGUUUCGGCGGUUGGGGAUGGACUCGCGGCUUAUCAGCUUGUUGGUGGGGUAGUGGCUUACCAAGGCUUUGACGGGUAGCCGGCCUGAGAGGGUGACCGGCCUCAUUGGGACUGGGAUACGGCCCCGACUCCUACGGGAGGCAGCAGGGGGGAAUAUUGCACAAUGGGCGGAAGCCUGAUGCAGCAACGCCGCGUGCGGGAUGACGGCCUUCGGGUUGUAAACCGCUUUCGCCUGUGACGAAGCGUGAGUGACGGUAAUGGGUAAAGAAGCACCGGCUAACUACGUG
Molecule: ribosomal RNA, 468 nt
Filed under: uncultured bacterium
Lineage: Bacteria
Description: partial 16S ribosomal RNA
Rfam family: Bacterial small subunit ribosomal RNA
Source: RNAcentral